UACGUAGGUGGCAAGCGUUGUCCGGAUUUAUUGGGUUUAAAGGGUGCGUAGGCGGCUUUGUAAGUCAGUGGUGAAAUACGGUAGCUUAACUAUCGAGGUGCCAUUGAUACUGCGAGGCUUGAGUACAGAUGAGGUAGGCGGAAUUGACGGUGUAGCGGUGAAAUGCAUAGAUAUCGUCAAGAACACCGAUAGCGAAGGCAGCUUACUGGGCUGUAACUGACGCUGAGGCACGAAAGUGUGGGGAUCAAACAGG
This 253-nucleotide ribosomal RNA is filed under the name uncultured bacterium. RNAcentral's name for it is "partial 16S ribosomal RNA". It matches the Rfam family "Bacterial small subunit ribosomal RNA", at positions 524 to 776 of the family's 1533-position model. The record is from RNAcentral.